RNAcentral lists this ribosomal RNA (408 nucleotides) under Brachynauphoeta foulpointeensis. Its description in RNAcentral is "partial 12S ribosomal RNA". Lineage: Eukaryota; Metazoa; Arthropoda; Insecta; Blattodea; Blaberidae. The record is from RNAcentral.
GGAUUAGAUACCCUAUUAUUUUAAAUGUAAAUGUUAGAACUUGAGUAGUAUUAGUUAGGGUCUUGAAACUUAAAGAAUUUGGCGGUAUUUUAGUCUAUUUAGAGGAAUCUGUCCCUUGAUCGAUAAUCCACGUUGGACCUUACUUAAUUUAUUAGUAUGUAUACCGCCGUUGUUGAAAAUCCUUAUAGGGAAAUUUCUUGAUUUUUUAUUAGUAAGUAUUUCAGGUCAAGGUGCAGCUUAUAGUUAAGUGGUGAUGGAUUACAAUGUUAAUUAAGCAAACAAAUUUUUGUGUUAAAUGUUAAUUGAAGGUGGAUUUAAUUGUAAAUUUGUGAAGAUUUUCGAAUUGAUAAAAGCUCUAAGAUGUGUACACAUCGCCCGUCACUCUCGUUAAUUAAGAUGAGAUAAGUC